This 29-nucleotide non-coding RNA is filed under the name Rattus norvegicus (Norway rat). Lineage: Eukaryota; Metazoa; Chordata; Mammalia; Rodentia; Muridae. The record is from RNAcentral.
UGGGAACACGGGUGUCAGGCACUCUCUCA